RNAcentral lists this ribosomal RNA (492 nucleotides) under uncultured bacterium. RNAcentral describes it as "partial 16S ribosomal RNA". It matches the Rfam family "Bacterial small subunit ribosomal RNA", at positions 29 to 507 of the family's 1533-position model. The record is from RNAcentral.
AGUGAACGCUGGCGGUAGGCCUAACACAUGCAAGUCGAACGGCAGCACAGUAAGAGCUUGCUCUUACGGGUGGCGAGUGGCGGACGGGUGAGGAAUACAUCGGAAUCUACUUUUUCGUGGGGGAUAACGUAGGGAAACUUACGCUAAUACCGCAUACGACCUACGGGUUAAAGCAUGGGAUCUUCGGACCUUGCGCGAUUGAAUGAGCCGAUGUCGGAUUAGCUAGUUGGCGGGGUAAAGGCCCACCAAGGCGACGAUCCGUAGCUGCUCUGAGAGGAUGAUCAGCCCCACUGGAACUGAGACACGGUCCAGCUUCCUAAGGGCGGCAGCAGUGGGGAAUAUUGGCCAAUGGGAGCAAGCCUGAUCCAGCCAUACCGCCUGGGUGCAGAAGGCCUUCCGGUUGUAAAGCCUUUUUGUUGUGACAGAAAAGCCGCACGUUAAUCCCCCGCUGUUCUGACGGUACCCAACGAAUAAGCACCGGCUCACUUCGUG